RNAcentral lists this long non-coding RNA (634 nucleotides) under Coffea arabica (coffee). Its description in RNAcentral is "long non-coding RNA (CARA_LNC001229)". The record is from RNAcentral. Lineage: Eukaryota; Viridiplantae; Streptophyta; Magnoliopsida; Gentianales; Rubiaceae.
ACCGUUAUGGAUAUAAUUUAUACUGAAUUUACAAGAUACUCUUCUUUAUAAUAAAAUUUCAUAAGGGCAGAAAAGUAAUAACAUAAUUGUAAAAGACCUAAAAAGAAAAAAUGUUGGGAAAAAGCAAAGAAAAGCUUCAGACUUUAGUUUCUCUUCCUCCCUUCUUCUCUGUUCGAACGAGUGACUUCUAAACCCUACCUCCGUUACUCUCAAUCUCUCACUCGUCGCCGACGCCGUUGCUCGCCGCAUCUGUCAGCCGCCAUCGCCAUCGCUUUUCUGGUUACCGGUAUGUCUGCCUAUGCUCUAAUGUGCAUUUCCAGUUCUAUUUCCAUUUCCCCCUUCAUUCAUCUUCGCUUCCCUCCCUCUCUCUCUCUCUCUCUCUCUCUCUCUCUCUCUCUAUGGCACUAUGGGUGUGGGGACUGGGGACGGGGAAUGAGAAGUAGUAGCAUGAUUGAUUACUGGGUCUGGGAGUAAACCCAGAAGCAUAUUAAAUUUGUUUGCCUAUCAGCCUCCAUCGUCAUUUGGAUCUGAUGAAACACUUCUGCUUUAAUUUGUUUUCCUUUUUUGUCUUUUUUUGGCCUUUUUUAUUAGGCAUGCGUAAGUGUAACAAUGAAUACGAAAGCUGUGUGGAAAU